AUGAAAACAGGAGAAACAUAUGCCAUUGAGUUUGUCAGUGAAACCGGCAAGCCCCUACAGCACACCUCAAAGUUUAUCAACCAAUGCGGAGUCGUUGUUAGAGACAACGUCCCGAUCACCGUCCAGGAAUGGAAGGAGCCAAAGAAGGCACGUCUUGGUUUCAGUUUUGUCGACAAGAGAACGAAAAAGGAUUGCUGGAGAAAGCUUAUGGAACAUUUCAGUCUACCUCCGGAAUACAACAAAGUCGAUGAAUUCGGUAACGAGGUUCCGGGUGGACGUGAGAGGAGGAGGCUAGUUAAAGAGUUCGUUCUUCAGAAGAUGGGCGAAGCAUUCCGGAACUUCAAGAAAAAUUUAACCCGUGACUAUGUCAACAAGGGCAAGACUCCGGACAACAUGAGAAACUGA
Molecule: ribosomal RNA, 405 nt
Filed under: Triticum aestivum (bread wheat)
Lineage: Eukaryota; Viridiplantae; Streptophyta; Magnoliopsida; Poales; Poaceae
Description: partial small subunit ribosomal RNA
Source: RNAcentral